CAGUCAUCUUCGAUUUGGAUUCUUGGGCAUCUUAUAAACAGAUCUUCAAACGUUUGUUCUGAUGAACUUAAAAGUUGUGAAUGUAAGUAUUUUUCUAUCAUUGAAUGAUUGAUUCUAGUAUACAAUAACUCAAAAAUGUUAAUUAAUAAUAUAAUUAGUAAUUAUUGCAAAUUUGCAGUAUUAUGAUAUCAAGAGAUCAAUUUUCUCUACCCAAUUUUUGUACAGAUAUCAAUAUAUUAUUUCUUGCUUCAUUGUUAUAAUUUUACUAUUUUAAUGCUUCUUGGUAUUAAUAUUAAUGAGGUUGUUUCUGUACUGUAUUUUAGGUACUGUAAUUACAUGUCAAGGUGUACCAAGUUUGAGAGCUUGUUUUGGGCCGAAUAUGUUUACCGAGUGUACCACUUGCAGCAAUAGGACAAGAAUACAGUUACAGACAAUGUUAUCUUACAAACUCAUGUAACUUGGUGUUGACAAUUGAUUGUAUACUGUGGUAAAUGUUGGUCUGCAUGUUCCAUUGGUAAGCACGAUGAGUGCAGUGUGCAUCUUUAAACAUCCUUGUUACCAGCAAGAGGGUUCGGCAAAGAAAACUAUGGAAAAUUUAGCUGUACCAAUAGAGUCAUUUAAGUUAACACAGAGGAACAUCUUUUAAACCAAACAUGAAACUGCAGGAAAAACUAAGUUUGCUCUUAAAAGACAAGAAACAGGUCAGAAAGUCUAACCGCCAGACAUCUGAAAAAAACAACAGACGUCGACAGGUGGAGCAGCUCCAAAAGAAAACCGAGAGAAGAAGCUCUAUGAGAAGUAGAAGGGACAACUUAUCAGGCUGGAGGCUUCUGAAGUGCUAAAAGUACUUCUAAUGACAAAAAAUUAAGCUAAAGUCCCUGAAACCUGUCAGGAACAGCUCGAACAGUUGUUUAAAAACUUUAACACUUGUUUUCUCGGAAUGUACAUUUUCCGUCUUUGAGAAAAGAUAUCUCAUGAUGUAUUUAACCAAUUGUCCUGAAAUUUUCAGGGCUUAUUCUUUUAUUAGAGCUGUCUUAAUUAAGCAUAGGAAAUUUCUGUAUCUUGUGUGGAAUACAUUUUAUGACAAAAAAUAUUAUCGAAAAAACCUAUGUUAACUUUGUACCUCUGCUGUGACCACAAGAUUUAUCAUACAAAAAAGUUCUAUGCUCAUUUAAGAUAAUGAUGCCUAUACUAUUUACUGAUAAAAUUUCUUAAAAUUCCAAGCAAUUUAUAAGCAGAUAUCUUUUCUCAAAUGCACCCUAGUUUUGCACAGCAUGUGGUAUGAUUGGCCGCCUGGUGUCAGGUUACAAAGGACGUUAGGCACUAGUGAUUAGUAUUUUUAGUUUCUAUAGGUCAUAAGCUUUCUACUGAUAUAUAGUUUGUCAUAACUCUGGUGAAUAUCUUUAAAAUUACAGCCAUUUCAAAAAUGACCAUCAAUCCAUGUGUACCCCCGCCUAAUCAGAUCACAUUCAAGAUCACACCUCAUGAUUUGCCCAAAAAGCAUCACUGGAAAUGUGAUGUAUCAGGUAGUAUUUUACAACUCAAAGGGCACUUCUGCCCCCCCCC
Molecule: long non-coding RNA, 1566 nt
Filed under: Paramuricea clavata
Lineage: Eukaryota; Metazoa; Cnidaria; Anthozoa; Malacalcyonacea; Plexauridae
Source: RNAcentral